AACUAGUUUUUCAUGGUUCUGAAAUGGAAUAUGAAGAGGAAGCCAUUGUCAGUUGCAUUUGGGUCCUAAAAUUCUUAACACCAAAUAAUUGUGAGACUGUACUGAGGGUCUCCCAGGGCUGGUUUUAGGAAACCAGAGAACAAUGCAUAUUUUGCAAUCAGAAUUCAAAGAAAAAAAAUGAUAAAAAACAAGGGACCAUAAAGUUGGGAAAACAAGGAAACAUGGUGAAAUCUUUGGGGGGGAAAAAGGAAAAAUUUGCAAGUGAAUACAUAUCCAGGCCCCAUAAGAUACCAUAGCUUUAUACUCUACAGUGAAUAAAAAUAAUAGUUUUUCACCUUAAUUAUUUGAAGCUCGAGCCAUCACUACCAAGAAAGCUAUGACCAAUUCUUCUUCUACUGAAUAAUAUAAAAAACUUAUAUCAGAUUCUAAAAUAUAAAACCUUCAUCACGUUUCAAAGGUUGUCCUCUUUUGACUAUAACACUACCUACAGUAUAUACUACCUACAGUAUAUACUAAAACUGUCUGUACAAGUGUAGGUAGUACCAAUGUGAAAAUGCUGUGCUGAGUGGUUAUAUUACUACCUUAAAA
Non-coding RNA from Paramuricea clavata, 588 nucleotides. The record is from the annotation of a GenBank genome assembly. Lineage: Eukaryota; Metazoa; Cnidaria; Anthozoa; Malacalcyonacea; Plexauridae.